CAAGUCGAGGGGCAGCAUGAACUUAGCUUGCUAAGUUUGAUGGCGACCGGCGCACGGGUGAGUAACACGUAUCCAACCUUCCGUUUACUCAGGGAUAGCCUUUCGAAAGAAAGAUUAAUACUGGAUAGCAUAACGAGAAGGCAUCUUCUUGUUAUUAAAGAAUUUCGAUAAUCGAUGGGGAUGCGUUCCAUUAGUUUGUUGGCGGGGUAACGGCCCACCGUGGCGACGAUCGGUAGGGGUUCUGAGAGGAAGGUCCCCACACUGGAACUGAGACACGGCCCAGACUCC
RNAcentral lists this ribosomal RNA (288 nucleotides) under uncultured Bacteroides sp. Its description in RNAcentral is "partial 16S ribosomal RNA". It matches the Rfam family "Bacterial small subunit ribosomal RNA", at positions 58 to 339 of the family's 1533-position model. Lineage: Bacteria; Pseudomonadati; Bacteroidota; Bacteroidia; Bacteroidales; Bacteroidaceae. The record is from RNAcentral.